UUUACUAUUAUUUUCAUCAUGGACAACACGCAAAGUGUAGCUACAGCUUUCAAUAACAGUGUCGUCCUGAAUACAGCUGCUGGUAUCGACACAGCUCUGUCAUCUGUGGCAAAAGCAGUCUGGACUGGUUGAAGCCGAGUGGGAAGGAUUAUUUUGGGAGUGUUUCAGUCAGCUGUGAAUCAUCAUAAUCCAUACACAGCAUAAACCUGCUCUCUGCCACUAGUACAAGGAGAUGAUCGAGGGGGAACAAGCAAUGCUUCAGCUUCAAUUGUCUGGGGCCUGUUGUUGUGGCCAAGGAGCUUUCACUCAGAUGGAACCUGCAGUGUUGACAUCCUUCCUGCCAGAGAUGUGAAAGCAUCCCCGGGACUGGACACGGCAAACAUAUAUUUCUGAGAAGAUCAGGACUUUUGCAAUGAGAAUGCCAUGGAUAUUACAUGUCCUGCUCCAAAGGGCAGGACAGAAAUAUGCUCUCAGGCUAGAUUCCUUUGUUCGUAUCA
Molecule: long non-coding RNA, 497 nt
Organism: Salvelinus namaycush (lake trout)
Lineage: Eukaryota; Metazoa; Chordata; Actinopteri; Salmoniformes; Salmonidae
Exons: 3
Source: RefSeq, a predicted model, not a curated record